This 497-nucleotide ribosomal RNA is filed under the name uncultured bacterium. Its description in RNAcentral is "partial 16S ribosomal RNA". It matches the Rfam family "Bacterial small subunit ribosomal RNA", at positions 28 to 507 of the family's 1533-position model. The record is from RNAcentral.
GAUGAACGCUGGCGGCGUGCCUAAUACAUGCAAGUCGAGCGAACGGACGAGAAGCUUGCUUCUCUGAUGUUAGCGGCGGACGGGUGAGUAACACGUGGAUAACCUACCUAUAAGACUGGGAUAACUUCGGGAAACCGGAGCUAAUACCGGAUAAUAUUUUGAACCGCAUGGUUCAAAAGUGAAAGACGGUCUUGCUGUCACUUAUAGAUGGAUCCGCGCUGCAUUAGCUAGUUGGUAAGGUAACGGCUUACCAAGGCAACGAUGCAUAGCCGACCUGAGAGGGUGAUCGGCCACACUGGAACUGAGACACGGUCCAGACUCCUACGGGAGGCAGCAGUAGGGAAUCUUCCGCAAUGGGCGAAAGCCUGACGGAGCAACGCCGCGUGAGUGAUGAAGGUCUUCGGAUCGUAAAACUCUGUUAUUAAGGAAGAACAUAUGUGUAAGUAACUGUGCACAUCUUGACGGUACCUAAUCAGAAAGCCACGGCCAACUACGUG